Molecule: non-coding RNA, 11610 nt
Organism: Triticum urartu
Lineage: Eukaryota; Viridiplantae; Streptophyta; Magnoliopsida; Poales; Poaceae
Source: RefSeq, a predicted model, not a curated record
AAAUAUACAUAGCUCAUUCACAUUUUAGUUCCCUAAUAUGUGGGUUUUCUACACAUGAUGUGUGCAGAUCUGUGAAAGAAGAGACGAAGAACAAUUUUAGCUGAAGAGUUGAAGAAGACCAAGGUGAAUUCCAUCCCUCUUGCGAAUCCAAUCAAGUUUGCGCUUGCAUUUUGGUGAUAUGGUUUGUGUUGGACCAUGUUCUCUAGCUAUCAAUGGACUUUCCCGAGUAGUUUUGCUGAUUUGUCAUUAUGGAUUUCACACACCAUCUACCUGAUGAAUGGCUAGAUGAUUUAUUUUUGUUGCCAUAUAGACCAUUGACUGGUGUGCAGGAACCCUUCUAAUUGGUGCUCUAGUUGUGCUUUUUUUGUUGUAGAAUAAUAAUUCAAGUGGAUGGCCGAUGCGUCUUGUUGUUUAGCGGUAUGAUGUGAUGGAAGUAUGUUCUAUAUUGCAAGGUGAUGGGCUGCUGAUUUUUGUUGUCCACUUCUGUUGAUUUCUACCGACUUCCACUUAAUUUCAUAUCUGUUGUAUAAGUAAUGCACUAAUAUACAGUACAUGAAAAAAUGAUCCUGUCUUAUAUGUCAAAAGUAUGGUUUUGCUACAGAUUUGUUGUGUAUGCAUGUUAGAUCUUUGAGAAAAUGGCUUCUAUACCACUGAGACAAGCAUCAACUGCUCAUUUGCCAUCGAACAAAGCUCCAGUGCUCAUAUACCAGUAACAAACGAAUUCUAGUGCUCAUAUGCCACUGGCUGUUAGAACAAUGUUAGCUCACUGUUUUCAGAGGCCAAAAUGACUUGUUUGCCCUCAGUGGCAAAUAAGCAACAAUGGGAGAACAUAUCUAGGAAUAAACUGACAGCAUUUUGCCUGUAAUUUCAGCAUUUCAGCAAAACAACAGUGCACAGAUAAUAGUAUCAGCAUAUAUAUACUUCAGCUACAGAAUAUUACUCAUCAAAGUUCACAUCAUUUAGAAACCAUUCAGCAAACACCAAAUUCAGUCAUGCAUAAGUAAACUCAAGUUUCCAUCCCUACCAAAAGACCACAACCGAGAGUAGGUUGUUCACAUAAGCAAAGUCUAUAGAUAAAUUAGACAUGAAGAGUUGCGAUAUGUAAAUAAUAUGUGAAAUUUUGCUGAAUAUCACAGUUUCAGCUUCUUCUUGCUUCGAGUGCUCAUUGCAGGGCUGUCAGGUGCAACACUCCUCCUGCUUCGAGUGCCCAUUGCAGGGCUGUCAGGCGCAACAGAUAUGGCCUUUGAUCUACAUUAAAACAUCAGAUUACAUACUAUGAUGAUCCUCGCAGAAUAUACGUUGCUAACUUACACAUUGUCAAAGAAACAUUUCAUUGAAGAUUGUGCAGCUUUCAUACCUUGUAGAUUUAGAGGUAGUCUUUGAUGAUUUCGACUUGGCGACAUUGUCUUCAAUUGCAUCACUCGGACAUAGAAGUAGAGGCAGUGCAGUUUCAGUUUCAAUUGAACAUGGAAGAACAACCUUUGUAAUGGGUUUUUUCUUUCUUUUGUCCCUGCAUUAGUUUCACAUAUUAGCAUCAUUAGGACAAGAGUAUGAUGAAAACAGUAAUAUUGAAGCAAGCACUACCUUUUUUGCUUUGCUACUUCAGCAUAGGCAGCUAGUGCUUCCGGAGCAGCAUCUUUACAGCUUUGCCAUCUAUGUCCAUAGGCCUUGCAAAUUGGACAUUGGUGCUGGCCUUUAUUUCCCUUGCCCUUGCUAUUCUCGGCACCACUUUUAUGCCUCUGUACUUUUGGCCUCCCAGGGGCCCUCCUAAGGAUUGGGGGAUUCAAAAUGAAAUCUUUGUUCACACUUGGCCAUUGAGACAUGUCGGUCAGGCCAGGAAGAACAUGGGCAUAAGCUGCAGUGAACUUGGCAACGCUGUAAUAGUCAUCAACAAAAUCUGCUAUGGUGACUCCCCUAAUUCCAGUCAUAAAGUUGAUUGCAUGUUUGCAAGGCUUCCCAGAGACUUGAAAUGCCCGGCAUGUGCAUGUCCUAUUUGAUAGAUCAGUAAUGUGGCGCUUGCCACCCAGCACAGCACACUCGGCAACCUCUGCAAUCAUGUCAUCUAUUCUCUCAUAUUCAAUGUCUAGCCCCCUACUUUUUUCAUUCAGCUCAUUCAUGACACUUGGAAGUAUACGUCGACCUUGCAAUUUCCUAGCAACCCUUCUCCUCUUCUCAUGCUUAACGGUAAUCUUCCUCCUGAUCUUGUCCAUGAGCUGAAACAACAUUAAACCUUUGUGCUUGUGGAUCCAGUUGUUGAAACACUCGGCCAAAUUAUUUGUCACAUAAUCCACUUUUGAGGAACAUGAAUAUUUGCUCCUUGACCAUAGCCUGCUGUGGUACUUCUUUAAGUAUGUAAUUGCAGCAGCCCUUUUCUGCUCUAUGGCUGCCAUGUGAUAGUCAAAAGCGCGAGGAGUCCAUGAAAAAGCAGCUGGCCACAAAUGAUCAUCAAAAACUUUGCCAUGAAACUUUUUUUUGAAGUUCACAACCAAGUGUCGCAUGCAUUCCCUAUGUUCUGCAUACUCAAACACCUUUUCAAUUGCAGUGUCAAUCCCUUUACCUGCAUCUGAACAUAUGGCUAGGCCAGGGGGAGAGCCAAUAGCCUCACGAAGCUUCUCCAUAAACCACACCCAACUUUCAGUAGUUUCCGCAUCAAUAACUCCAUAUGCUACAGGGUAUAGCCAAUUGUGCCCAUCAAUAGCACAAGCAGUAGCUAACUGGCCUCUAUACUUGCCUGUCAAAUGAGUGCUGUCUAUCGCCAAGUAAGGUCUGCAUCCAGCCAAGAAUCCAUCGCAGAGAGGCUUCAAUCCAACAAACAUCCGUAUAAAAUACUUUUUCUGAUCAUACUCCAUGUGGUCAAUCGCAACUAUGCUUCCAGGAGACCUCUUCUCAACCUCCGCUUUCCAGGCAUACAGCUUGUCAAAAGACUCAUCCCAAUCACCAAACAACUUAGCCAUUGCUAGUCCUUUGCCCCUGAAUACUUUUGUAUAAUUGAUCUCGAUCUUGUACUUGUCAUGUAGCCUCCUCUGUAACUCCUUUGGGCGAACACUAGGAUCUUCUUUUAUCCAGUCCAUGACUUUCUCACACACCCAUGCCUUUGAAGCAUUAUGCUGCUCCUUUUUUUUCUUUGUACUAGCACAUGUGUGCUUCUCCAAAUGAACCUUGACCUGCAGUAAAUUGUAAUGGGUAAGAAAAUAGAGUCAACUCCAUUUAAUAACAGCUAGAGUAUGCAACUAACUAAAAUAUAUACCUCCAUAGUUUCUCCAUCAUCCAACCUCCCAACAUGAAUUCUCCAUGUGCAAUCUUUAGACUCGCGACAAUGAGCCCUGAAUCGUGUAGGCUCACUUUUGUCAACUUGAAAAUCAAACUCUUUCUUUAUGGCAUAUGUAGCAAUUGCCAACCUAAACUCUUCAAUAUUAGGAUACUUUGCACCAACAUGCAUUGGUGGGUUUUCUUUAUCAUACACUAUUUCUGGAAUAACAUCUGGUCUAGCAUCUUCCGUAACCCACUCCUCGUCAUCGCUGCUAUCCUCUACAUGCUCACUAUUUGGUAUAUCUUUUUUUUCUCCGAGCUCAUCAUCACUAUCUGAACCAGCACUAUCAAUUGAGUAUUGGUCCUCCUCUCAUCUACACCAACAUGUUCAUAUUCUUCAUGUGGAUUUGCAAGAUAUGUAUCCAUAAGGCAUACUUUAGCUUCAUCAUUUACAUUACUUGCUUGACUAGGCAGUGCUAUAGAUGGUGUUUGAUUCAAUGGAGUAAAAUGCACAUCAACACUAUCACUUGGGUCAGAUUGUUUGAUGAUCAGAUUACCGCUUCUAUUUUGAUGAAAAGACUACAUUUUCAGGCAUUCUUCAUCAUUUGACACACAAAUAUUGUUGCCACUAAUAGAGUCAACGUACUCAAGAAUUAUAUUCUCCACUGAAAAUAGUGGAAAAGUUCCAGCAAUGGAAGCCACUAGAUCCUUCAAUCUUGAGCUACUACCCUCAACAAUAUCCCAAGUAAAUGUAGAAUCCCCACAGAUUUCGGUUCCACCGCCACAAAUCUUCACCUCUACCGUGUAAGUACAUGAUUGGAUCAUCCUGUGGAUGAUGAAACCAUGUCAAUAUUUGUAUGCUCCUAUCUAAAACUUUAGCAAAAAUAGAUAGACUGAAAAAUUACCUAGCACAAAUAUGAGAGAGAGAGGUGGAGCCGCAUUCGUCAGCCACGCCGUCCUCCUCAUGGAGCUUGGAAACUUGGGGCAGAGGAGCUGCAGCGAGUGUGCCCACGUACGGAAUGAUCUCUUGGAGGGCCUCGACCGUGGACAUCCCUGACCCGCUCUCCACAUCGCUGGAAUCCCCGAUUCUAGGGUUCUGCGCGACAUGGUCGCGGGGAGAGGUCGGCGCUGCUAGUUGGGCUAAGGCAGUUGAAGCCGCGGAGGUCGGGAGGGAGGGAAGCAGGGCCACGACGGGAGGCGGCGGAGGCCGGGGCUGGGGGAGCGGCGCCGUCGGCGGUGCCUCCAUAGGCUGGGGCUCGGGGAGCGGCGGAACCUUCGGCGUCGGCAAAGGCUGGGGGAGCGGCGGAUCCUUCGAGGAGUAAUUAGCCUGAGGGAGCGGGAGGGGGAGGAGGGGUAUGCGCUGGGGGAGCGGCGGCGGCGACGGUUCCGCCAUGGCUGCUGCUGUGUGCGUGCGUGAACUGGUCGGGUGGUGUGGUGUGCGUUGAUUUUUCUUUUUUUUUUCUAUUCUAAGAGAAGAGAUAAGACGAGGGUAAAAUUGGAAUUCUCAGAUUGACUGACAGGAAAACGUAGAGAUUCUGACGAUGGACUAACGGCGAUGGCAAAUAAGCACUAGAAUUCGUUUGUGUCUGGUAUAUGAGCACUGGAGCUUUGUUCGAUGGCAAAUGAGCAAUUGAUGCUUGUCUCAGUGGUAUAGAAGCCAUUUUCUCUAGAUCUUUCUAGGUUCUACUUUCUUAAUAUUUCAGUUCAUGACAUCAAAUUGCAGCUGUACCAAAGUGCAGACAUUAAAAUAGUUUAGAACAGAACAAUUAGAUGCUUUUAGUUCUGAGUGCAUGGAUGCUUUGGUCAAUGUUUAGAAAUGCAUUGCACAUAUAGUUAUGUUAACAUGUUUGCUAGAGGGAUCAGAAUGGUCUCCGAGUCGUUCAAAACUGAAGGCAGCACCAAUGUAUCACAUUUGUAAAAUCAUGCAUAUACAGGAGCUCAUCAGUCUGGCGACCUAAAUUUCUCCCCAACUUAUCUCUUUUUGUUCAGUCCAGAAUUUCAGGUUUCCUGUGGUUUCUGUUGCCAAGGUUUGAUCUUUAUUUUUGUGUUGUGCAGAUGAUUGCAGCUGAUGCCGAGCCUCUCGAGAUCUGAGGGCCGUAGUAUUCAGAAUUACCUACAGCUUGAGUAGAUACACAUUAUUCACUGCAUAUUUUAUUCCAAUGGUUUUACUUCCACACCACUGGUUUGUCUAUAUUAAAUCACAAGAACUUCAUGAGCUUAAUUGGUUACUGUGUAGAAGGGCAUUCUUUCAAGGAGCUUUAGAUUUUUUGAAUAUGCUCCCUGCUGGACCCUUUUCGGUAUGUACAGAAUUUGUUGAGAAUGGGUGUGAAAAAAUUGACCAUCCAGUGGAUUUAUACGCACGGUAUGUACAGAAUUCUGCAACCACAAUAGAAGUAAGGCCAUGGAGCAAGAAUUCUGUUGGGCAUCCUUUGCAUUUAUCUUGUCAGGUUCCCAUGCUUCAUAGCAUGUGUGUAAGCAUAGCAGUACACACAUACACUGCAGUUCAUACUGCCAUUUAAUAGGGGAUGCAUUAGGGUACUUUAUUUCCAUUAUAAACUGAUAAUAGUUAUGAGUUUAGUAAGGUAACAAUAAUCUGGGUUAUAGCAGAAUAUAGAUGUGGUAUGCUUGUAUGAGUAGAAUGCAGAGUUUAUAAAUGAACUAAAAUCUGAGAACAGGAAGUGGUAGGUUUAAUUUCAGUUAGAAGAUUAGGUGUACUGCAGUAUCAUAUAUUCAGGUAAUCCCUUGCAUUUUUUUGCCAUGUUCAGGCUUUAUACAUCGUUUGUAUAUGCAUAAAGUACGCCACAUAAACUGGAGUUCAUAGUGUCAGGAGUAAGAGAGGUGCAACUAAGUACUAGCAUGUUACAGGAUAAGAACGACUGUUUAGUUUAACUCCAAAGAGGUUAGAUGAAAUGAGUUCUUGAUAUAUCUGAACUCUAGAUUAUAAGAUGCAUCUUCUUACUCUUCCUGAGAUCACGGUUAUCAUAACUGGACGUUCGUUUGUUUGUCGGAAGUUUUAUCUCUUCUCUACAGUCAAAGCUCAUGUGCAAUUUGGAGAAAAAUGCACACAUGCUGUCGCCGCAUUUGACGAUUCCUUUUAGGUAUCUAACCAAUAGCGGCCUAUGUUUCCUGGUCAUUUUUCUUUUGGAAAUGGAAGUUGUUGCUUCCUAGGCGAGCUGAGGUGAUAACUGAACUCUCUUCUACUAUUGAGCAGAUUCAGUAUUCACGUUUAUUUUCAUUAGCCCAAGGAUAGUUUUUUUGUGUUGUUGUGGCUGUGGGCAGCUACCGAAAAAAGAAAAGAGGAUGAGCGAGACUACUGCAGUGAGAGACGGCGGCCACGAGAGCUAUGGAUGCAGGAGAGGGUUCAUGUUGUUUAUAUAUUUCCUCUAGGCCAUGUGUCUUUCCAUCCCCCUCUCCAGGAGAGGGUUCAUGUUAUUUAUUUUAUUAGUCAAAUAUAAUAUGAGGUCACCUACCAUCAUCAUUCUUGAUUACAGUCUCGUACGAAAGUAGUCCGAUUAGUUGUAGUAAUUCAUAAAUAUUUUUGGUAUGGUUCUUAUUUGGUUUCAAGACACAGAAAUUUGAAAGGCAUAUAUAAGAGAAAAAUCCCUGGCAUUACUUCAAAAUCGUGAUCUUUAUUUGGUUAGUAAGGCCUUCCUUUUGUGGCUACAAUUUUUUUUCUAUUGUGAUGUUUGAAACAAUAUUUUAUACUUAUAAUGAUCUAGAAUACAACAGAUCAAUGAUAUAUACAAAGAGACACAAUAGGAGUUGACUGGAUACCUAGCUUUUGAAAGGACUGAUAUAUACAAAAUAUUAUUGACUAGAACAGGAGAGAUGCAAUCUUAUGGAUAAUUCAAUAUUUGCAAGAAACUUUCCAGCUUGGCCCUCCUAUUGCUCAUCUUGAGAUUUAUUUCCUUCGUUUCAGUGCCUGCUUUUGAUGAUAGGAAACUAACAAGGCAGAAGGUACUUCCCAUGGUUGAUUUAUUAUAUUUUUGUAGAAACUGGAUAGAGAACAUACCAUGCACUUUCUUAUAAUCUUUUGGCUGGCCCUGCAAUUUUGGCUUUCUUUCAGGACAGAGGACACACGAUGCUUUAUCGGUUCUUACCAUGUGCCUGUUAUUUUAUUUUGCAUUUUUUAUGCAUCACAUGAUUUCUUUUACAACAAGUGAUCCUAAUUCUCACUGGUCGUUGGCAGCUUUUCUGUUUCUUCAUGACAAGAAAACCAUAUAGCGCUUGUGCACUUUAGCCUUGUCCUGAUUACUAGAACUGCUUUGAUGGUGCUCUAUUAUAAGUGCCUUGCUUGCACCAGUACUCAUGGUUGUCUUCUCUUUGUUUGCACUGUAGGCAAUGUGGUAGACGCUGUACUUGCAGGCGGUCUUUAUCGAUGUUGGUCUAGCUGUAUUGUCUAACGACACUUCAUGCGGUCCUCAUGUAAUAUCUUCUUAUUGUUCAAUGCUAUGAUCCACAGUGUGAUACUGAAAACCUUGAUUAAUGUUGUGUUACAUUUUGUUGCAAUUCUAUUUUUCCUUGAGAUUGUGGUUAUAAAGAUAAAACCGAUUGAUUUAAGAUAUGUUUUUUAUACGUAAGGGUCUAAAUUCUUGGUGUCUGUGUUUGGCCAGACAAAGCUUACUAAAAAGAUACACAUACUUUUAGCUUCAUGAUUUUGAAUGGGACUUUGUGAUAUCAAAUUAGAAUGUGUAUAUACAUUUCAUUAUAGACAAUAAAUUCUUGGCGUGUGUGCUUGGCCAGACAGAAGAUUACUAAAAGGAUACACGUGCUUUUAGCGGCAUGAUUUUGAAUGGGACUUUGCGCUAUCAAAUUAGAAUGUGUAUAUACAUUUCAUUGUAACAACAAAAUACCUUUUUCCUACUAAAGGGGAUCAUAUUUGUUACAUACAUUUUGUUUCAAAUAGAACUCCAUGCCAUCAAAUUUAAAUAUGUAUAUACAUCUCAUUGUAGAAUAGAAGCCCCCCAUUUUUCUAAUUAAGAGAUUAAAUUUGUUGUCAUGUGUGCUUGCCCGUAACUAAAUAAGUAAACCAUGGAUUUCUUUUCACCGCUCCCUUUAGAGGAAAUUGACAGGUAUGAGUAGGAGGAAAUAUCAGGUGAUACGGGAGCUGAAAUGCUCCCAUGCUAUGAUGUGAUCUCGGCCAAUAUCUGUGGGUUGUGGACCAGGGCGUGAUUAUGGGCUUCCUGAAGGGCUUUUCUGAAAAUAUUCUGGGGCUCCUGGGCUGACCAUUGGAUGUGAGAUCCAAUGGCGAGAACACAUCGUAGCACCGUAUCAGUAGAUCGAGGUCAGAUCAGGUCGUACUUUUCAUAUACAUUAGACCUUUGAUAACGCGCGUUGCCGUGUUCAUCCAUUUUGAAAUAAAUACAUAUAAAUAUUAGACAAAAUUUGGAUGAAUUAGAUGCCUCAAAAUAGAUGAGGAUUAGCCGUUAAAAACUGCAUAAAUCAUUCCAUUAAAUUGUACAAGGACAAGGUAGCUACAUCCAAUCCAAAUGCGAAGAUACAUAAAAAAGACACACCUCUAAGUUAUAACACCAUCAUGGAGUAUCUUUUCUCCCAACAUAUCUUUCCCUAAUAAUAAUAAACCAGCUAUUGUUCCUGGUCGUACGUCGUCGUCAAUUUUACAAAAACAUCCUUGUAAUUUUUGGUAUUCAACCCGCGGUCCUUUUUAAAGUGAGAAAAUGUUUCGAGCCCAGAUCUGGCCCACCCAGGCCCGAGUGCCGCCGCCGCCACUACCAGUGCCCACAGAGCGCUCGACCUCGAGCUCCUUCUCCCGUGCGCCUCCUCCCCGGCCUCCCUCGCGCGUCGUCCGGCAACCACCGCCGCCACCGGCGACCACCCAGGUCAUGCCGCCGCUCCCCUGCCUUCUCUCUUUCUACUCUUUCUCUAAUCUCCUUGUCUCUCCUUCUCUCCUGGAGCUCAGCGCCAGCGCCAUGGAUGCCCAGUUCUCGAGCUCACCUUGGAGGUUCAAACGCCGCAACGGGACCUCCACCGGCCAGAUCCGGCGCCUCCCUCCCGGAUCCGCGCGCCCUCCACCUCCUCUACCCGAUCCGGCGCUGCCCACCUCAGCUCCUCCUCUCCUCCGUGCGCCCGAGCUCCUCGCUAUGCGUCGCCCGGGAGGGCUCGCGCUCGCUACUUGACCAGAGCCACCACGUUGCAUUCUCCGGCGACCUCGCCGUCCCCUCUGCACUGCCCUCCACCUCAACUGAUGUCCAUCUGAUUGUUCCAUGUUAUACUAUCUGUUGAAGAAAAUAAAUCUGUAUUAUUUACCUUGAUUUUUCUGAUUGUAGAUAAAUAACAUGGCUGAGAAAGUUCCUCCAAUGAAAGGAGGAGGAGUAUAGUCUUGGCCGUGGCUGGGAAGGAAGGAGAACAGGUCCCUGCAGUUAUUUGUCAUAUUGGAUACUUUACAAACAUUCUGUAAAUUGGUAUCAGUUGCACACUUUUUGUUUAUCUCCAUAUCUAUGACGACUACCCACUCCAAAGCAUCCCCACGCUAAUUUGAAAUAAAAGGAGAAGACCAGAACCAUGAUUUUUAUUCAAUGGUGGUUGAUUAGUAGGUAUGAUCCAAUCAAAUGUGUCCAGCUGUCCUCGUGUUCAUUUCCAACCUUUGAAACUCAGUUUUCAAAUUUAGAAAUCCAACAUAUAUAUUCCAGUACAUGAUUUUAUUUGAUGAUGGUUUAAUUUAGUAGCUACGAUCUAAUCAAGCUUGUCCAACUCUCCCGACAGUGUUCCUCUCCAACCAUUGAGGCUCAGUUUCCAAGUUCUGACCUAGCAUCAAUCCAUCAUGUAAAUUCCCAGUACAUGACUUUAUCUCACUGUGGUUAAUUUAUCAAAGGAGUUGUACGCCGUUGUUUGAAGCGGAUCAGGUGGCCGCCUCUGUCUGCGAGGCUCCCACAAGUAAUAUAGUUGCGGCCUGGCGCUGCAACAAUUUGCUACCACGGCGCCAUUCAACUUCCUCACCAGUCGCUCCUAUGCCCACUCACAAGCAAGUAAAACUUUGCAUCCUUCAAUAAUCUGCUAUAGAUCAAAUACUCAUAUAAUUUAUCUCAAGUAUCACAGUCCAAAUCAUUGAUGUAUUGUUUGUGCUUCUAUCAUGCUAGAUUUUGUUGCAAGUUCAUUGCAUGCGUAAGCAAAUUUAGAGUGUUGAAGUCAUAGUGAAUUAAAUAACAUUUGAGACCUCUGUCUAACAACCUUUGUGCAAGUCCGAGAUGAACAGGGCACAUAGGUUUUCCAAGAUUGAAAAUUCAUGAAUAAACAGUUAUGAUGCGAAUUUACGUAACCUGGAAUCUUCUGUGAUUCAAAGUAAACCAAUAAACAGGAAUUUUAUGGACUUCUAGGUCAUUUUUCCUUUGGUAACAGUUAUGUUAGUUCAAAACAAUUUUUCAGUGCCACGAUUAGGCUUCCAAGGGUUCAGAGUAUGACGAAGAAGCCUUUUAUAUCACACACUAUAUAACAUCAUGGAAUCACAACCUUAUAACAAAUAAUUUAAGAGGUUAUGUUCUGGUUUGCUGUAUCUCCACCAGUUUGGGUUGGUCUGAUGGCUAUCCUAAACAGAAUAGGGAAUUAGGAGUACUUUAGUUGGUAUUGAAAGUGGUAUGUUUGCUUUCGAGUUGAAAAUCUUGCAAGUUUGGUCCUGGGAUAUUUAAUGCUCCCUUUUCUUAUUAUCUUCCAAUCAUACUUUACAUAUUUAGUUUUUUACUUUCUCUUGACAAGUGAACUGAAUUAUUCAUGGAGAAUCUGGUUAUAGUAAAUUUUAUUAUGGAGAUUCAUCUGAUGUAAUAUAAUAGCUUUAUUUGCUAAAAUCAGUACAUAACUAUCGUGUUGUAUGGUUUCAACAUGUAGAGUUUUGCAAGUGAGAGUUACAGGAAAUCACUAUUGCAAGAUAGCAUUCAGUUAACACACGUACAAUCGACUGAUCAUUGUUUCUUUUUUUUGCUAAUUUAAUUUGAAAAAGCUAUUGCAAACAUUUUUUUCUUCUGAAAUUAUAUACUCUAUUUAUUUCUAAUGUGAUUUUGUUACUGUUUGUAUGGUAUUUCUCUGCCUAAAUUUUUUGUUACAUAAAUUAAUCUGCAUAUAUGUGUGCAAGCUGUGAAUCGACAAACAGCCCAGAAAAUAUGGCAUGCUACAUACCCUGUGACAGUACAUUAUCAGAAAUACUUAUAUUCAGUGUGUCAUGUGUGCUCAGUCAUUUGUGUCAUGUUCAGAUUUUAGAAGUCAAAAUUCUAGCUUUAGCUCUAUAUUUAAGAAUUUUUCUACGCCAAAUGCAAGAAAAAUAAAGCGUCCUGCUGCUCUCAUUCUGAGGAAGUUCUGAAAAUUGAGGCAUUUGUAUGAAUUUCUACUCUUCAUUAUAAAUUAUUCUUUCAA